UACGUAGGGGGCGAGCGUUGUCCGGAAUUAUUGGGCGUAAAGAGCUCGUAGGCGGUCUGUCGCGUCUGCUGUGAAAACUCAGGGCUUAACCCUGAGCUUGCAGUGGGUACGGGCAGACUAGAGUGCGGUAGGGGAGACUGGAAUUCCUGGUGUAGCGGUGAAAUGCGCAGAUAUCAGGAGGAACACCGGUGGCGAAGGCGGGUCUCUGGGCAGUAACUGACGCUGAGGAGCGAAAGCGUGGGGAGCGAACAGG
Molecule: ribosomal RNA, 253 nt
Filed under: uncultured bacterium
Lineage: Bacteria
Description: partial 16S ribosomal RNA
Rfam family: Bacterial small subunit ribosomal RNA
Source: RNAcentral